This 715-nucleotide ribosomal RNA is filed under the name Fedikovella sp. MNHN IM 2013-60187. RNAcentral's name for it is "partial large subunit ribosomal RNA". It matches the Rfam family "Eukaryotic large subunit ribosomal RNA", at positions 69 to 633 of the family's 3401-position model. The record is from RNAcentral. Lineage: Eukaryota; Metazoa; Mollusca; Gastropoda; Cocculinidae.
CUAAGAUUCCCUUAGUAACGGCGAGUGAAUCGGGAGUUAGCCCAGCACUGAAUCCUCUCGACCAUUAAUGGUUACGAGGAGCUGUAGUGUAAAGGGUCUGUGAAUAUCGUGCAGCGUUUGUCGCAGAUAAGUCGUCUUGAAAGUCUCGACUCCGGAGCGGGUGCGAGACCCUUGUCGACGUGGGCAGCGCAGCGAACGUCUAACAGGCCCUAAGAGUCGGGUUGUUUGGGAUUGCAACCUGAAGAUCGGUGGUAAGCUCCAUCGAAGGCUAAAUACUUCCACGAGACCGAUAGCAAACAAGUACCGUGAGGGAACGUUGAAAAGAACUUUGAAGAGAGAGUUCAAUAGAAUGUGAAACCGCCCAAAGGUAAACGAGUGGCACCGCAUUUCUGUCCCAGCGGCGUACAGGCGACAACCAAGACGCGGGGUUGCUCGUCGACGUGGCCGUGUUCGGGGAAAACCGUCAAGAUCGCUUCAUUCUCCGUCGAACAACGGGACUCUCGACUGAGUCUGCUCGUCAAGUGGCUUCGAUUCGUCGCUCGCCGCCUCUGUCGCGUAUUCUCGACCGCGGGGAAACUGCCCUCGGCGAAGUGGAGCGGGAGAAAAGCCUUGUCGAAUGCGCGAUUCGGUGGUCGAGCCUGUGCGAGUGCGCGCCCUCUCUCGAGAGGGUUGCCUCUCGCAUGAGUUCCUGCCGUGCCGCGUUCGAUGGUAUCGU